CCUACGGGUGGCAGCAGUGGGUGAUAUUGGACAAUGGGGGAAACCCUGAUCCAGCGACGCCGCGUGAGUGAAGAAGUAUUUCGGUAUGUAAAGCUCUGUCAGCAGGGAAGACAGAAAUGACGGUACCUGACCAAGACGCCCCGGCUAACUACUUGCCAGCAGCCGCGGUAAUACGGAGGGGGCAAGCGUUAUCCGGAAUUACGGGUUAUAAGGGGAGCGUCUACGGUGAUGCAAGUCUGGAGUGAAAGGCGGGGGCCCAACCCCCGGACUGCUCUGGAAACUGUGUAACUUGAGUGCAGGAGAGGUAAGCGGAAUUCCUAGUGUAGCGGUGAAAUGCGUAGAUAUUAGGAGGAACACCAGUGGCGAAGGCGGCUUACUGGACUGUAACUGACGUUGAGGCUCGAAAGCGUGGGGAGCAAACAGGAUUAGAUACCCUUGUAGUC
Molecule: ribosomal RNA, 443 nt
Filed under: uncultured bacterium
Lineage: Bacteria
Description: partial 16S ribosomal RNA
Rfam family: Bacterial small subunit ribosomal RNA
Source: RNAcentral